CUUAAUAUAUAUUUUUCAUUUUGGUAAUUUGGGAGAAAAAAAUUGUCGCCUGACGGCACGUAGACAACCUUUCAAUCAAUCAAUUAUGCGAAUAAAAACAUAAGACUAAAUAGUCAAAACAUGCUUUAGUAAAAGUGGAUUCAUUAUUGGUUACAGAAAUUGCUUGUUCUUACAAAAAUGAUUAAAACAAUCCAAACUAGCUAUUUUUUGGGAAAUCACUAUCAAAUUCAAAAGAUAAAACUUUAGACGGGCCCAUUUAAUUACCACUUUGUUCACACAUGCCUCCAUUAAGUGGCCCUUAAUUCACACUAUUACACUUUAAGUAUAAGUAUUUAACAAUCUUGGUUAUAUAUUUCAUAUCAUCUAUCUAUAUAUAUAAAAAUAUGUUCGCCUCCCUCCUGUGAUGUCACGUCAUCAAGUCGUGCGUUAUGUGAGUGACACGUGUCCCAUUUUAUAUUUGGGGUCAAAAUAAAACAAAAAACUGUCAGGAGUAAUUGAACCCAACACAUCCAGCACUGAUAAUUUCUCUUAGAACCACUAGGCUAAAAUCACUUUUUAUAAAUAUGAAGCCGCGAAAAUACUUAUUAUCGUGUUGGCUGGAAGCCCAUGCUUCUUCUGCUUGUGGCCAGGGCCGGCACUGGACUAAUGUCAAGAUGAAGAUCGUGAAAUUAAAAACUUUGCUCCAAACAGUUUUGCAAUGUUUCCAACCUUUAUAACUUGAUGCAUAUAAUAUAUAUCAAAAUACAUUUGUUGUACACGCUUUUAUUAGUUUUACUUUAAAAAAAAGGUAUUUGCAGUUAUAAAUGUUUUGUGCCAAUGAAGUAAUGGUUGAAAAACCUCUAUACAUAUCCCAUUUUAUUAGUUUUACUUUUAAAAAAAGGUAUUUGCAGUUAUAAAUGUUUUGUGCCAAUGAAGUAAUGGUUGAAAAACCUCUAUACAUAUCCCUUUCUUAUUAUUUGAGGAGCAUUAAAAAUAAAUAACCUUUAGUUCAUGUGUUUAUUACAAGUGUGCCAUUUCUUAUGUGGCAACUCCACAAGCUCUCUCACAUAUUCUAUUUAAAACCCCUUUGUUAACUAGAGUAAUUACACAACAUGCCAUUGAUCAAAACAUUAUAAUUACCUUAGUUUUGUCUACAUUUGUCA
This 1142-nucleotide long non-coding RNA is filed under the name Brassica napus (rape). Its description in RNAcentral is "long non-coding RNA (BNAP_LNC003068)". The record is from RNAcentral. Lineage: Eukaryota; Viridiplantae; Streptophyta; Magnoliopsida; Brassicales; Brassicaceae.